GUAGGGAAUAUUGGGCAAUGGAGGCAACUCUGACCCAGCCAUGCCGCGUGCAGGAAGACGGUCCUCUGGAUUGUAAACUGCUUUUGAAUGGGAAGAACACUACCCUUGCGAGGGUAUUUGACGGUACUAUUAGAAUAAGCACCGGCUAACUCCGUGCCAGCAGCCGCGGUAAUACGGAGGGUGCAAGCGUUAUCCGGAUUUAUUGGGUUUAAAGGGUGCGUAGGCGGCUUGAUAAGUCUGGGGUUAAAGGCGGCAGCUUAACUGUACGCAUGCCCUAGAUACUGUUGAGCUUGAGUGACCUGGAGGUAGCUGGAAUUCCCUGUGUAGCGGUGAAAUGCAUAGAUACGGGGAGGAAUACCGAUUGCGAAGGCAUGUUACUACGGGUAAACUGACGCUGAUGCACGAAAGCGUGGGGAUCAAACAGGAUUAGAAACCCGAGUAGUCC
This 445-nucleotide ribosomal RNA is filed under the name uncultured bacterium. Its description in RNAcentral is "partial 16S ribosomal RNA". It matches the Rfam family "Bacterial small subunit ribosomal RNA", at positions 354 to 796 of the family's 1533-position model. The record is from RNAcentral.